Molecule: ribosomal RNA, 342 nt
Filed under: uncultured soil bacterium
Lineage: Bacteria
Description: bacterial SSU rRNA
Rfam family: Bacterial small subunit ribosomal RNA
Source: RNAcentral
GGAACGAACGCUGGCGGCAUGCCUAAUACAUGCAAGUCGAACGAACACUUCGGUGUUAGUGGCGCACGGGUGCGUAACGCGUGGGAAUCUGCCCUUGGGUUCGGAAUAACAGUUGGAAACGACUGCUAAUACCGGAUGAUAUCGAAAGAUCAAAGAUUUAUCGCCCAGGGAUGAGCCCGCGUAGGAUUAGCUAGUUGGUGAGGUAAAGGCUCACCAAGGCGACGAUCCUUAGCUGGUCUGAGAGGAUGAUCAGCCACACUGGGACUGGAGACACGGCCCAGACUCCGUACGGGAGCAGCAGUAGGGAAUAGUUGGACUAAGUGGACGCGAACGCCUGACUCC